RNAcentral lists this ribosomal RNA (361 nucleotides) under Aptostichus atomarius. RNAcentral describes it as "partial 12S ribosomal RNA". Lineage: Eukaryota; Metazoa; Arthropoda; Arachnida; Araneae; Euctenizidae. The record is from RNAcentral.
UUCCAGUAAGCUAACUUUGUUACGACUUACCUCUUCUUUAGAAGAGGGUGACGGGCGAUAUGUACACCUAAAUUCAAUUUCGUUCUUAAUUUUUAUUAAAAAACUACUUCCAAAUCCUCUUUUAUUCACUCUUUAGAAAGAAGUCCUUUAAUAAAUUUAAUGAGUAAUUAGUUUUAUCUUCUUCAUGAACUUCACCUUGACCUGACUUGGUAAAUAAUGAUUGGGCAAAAGCUAAGAAUUUUGCCUUUAGACGGCGGUAUAAAAGAAAGAGAAGAAGAGAAAAUAAGCGGGUAAAAUCGAAUAAAAACAAAUUCCUCUGGUAAGAAAAAAGGCCGCCAAAAAGCAUAGGUUUGUGAAUUAC